AUACGCACAACAAAUACACUUGUCCAAUUCUCUUUUAAGCUGGAGAUAGUACUCUUUAGAUCAGCCUCUGUAGCUGAAGGAUGGAUCUUGCAUCUGUAUGAAACAUGAGUGUCGACUUGUCUGAGGGCGCCAACAAGAUCAGGAAUGAACCUGGUAUUAGAAUCGUCAUCCUCAAAGACAGGGAUGACUUCCCUCCAACUGUGUUUCUGA
RNAcentral lists this ribosomal RNA (210 nucleotides) under Triticum aestivum (bread wheat). Its description in RNAcentral is "partial small subunit ribosomal RNA". The record is from RNAcentral. Lineage: Eukaryota; Viridiplantae; Streptophyta; Magnoliopsida; Poales; Poaceae.